This 74-nucleotide transfer RNA is filed under the name Deltaproteobacteria bacterium. Its description in RNAcentral is "tRNA-Gly". It matches the Rfam family "tRNA". From Rfam's summary of the family: Transfer RNA (tRNA) molecules are approximately 80 nucleotides in length. Their secondary structure includes four short double-helical elements and three loops (D, anti-codon, and T loops). The record is from RNAcentral. Lineage: Bacteria; Pseudomonadati; Myxococcota; Myxococcia.
GCGGGUGUAGUUCAAUGGUAGAACUCUAGCCUUCCAAGCUAGAUGCGCGGGUUCGAUUCCCGCCACCCGCUCCA